GUUGCCCUGAUCCUCAUACCAGAUGAGGUACGUAGGCAGGAGGUCUAACGAGAUCUCUCCGGGCACCCUUUUUCUUUUUGUGUGUGUUUGUUUGACAGUUAUUAGGCUCGAGUUCCCGACUCCCUAUUAACUUGUUUGUGUGUUAUCCUUCUUGUGUGUUAGGAGAUGGACAUAAGCCCAGCGAUUGGCAGUCCGUGUCCUAUUGGUGUUUGUUGUGUGGAGUCUGACGUAAGUCCAGCGAUUGGCAGUCGGUUUCCAGUCGGUUUCCAGUCGGAGUCCGAUGUAAGUCCAGCGAUUGGCAUUCAGUUUCCAUGUUUGCCUGUUUGUGUGUUUGUUUUGACGUCUCAGCGUCUGUGCGUGUGUUUUGUUUCGGCGUGUGUGAGCCGAACUACGGUAGCUCUGAUUCUCAUUCCAGAUGAGAUACGUAGGCAUAGG
RNAcentral lists this long non-coding RNA (435 nucleotides) under Lathyrus oleraceus (garden pea). RNAcentral's name for it is "Pisum sativum (pea) long non-coding RNA (PSAT_LNC022797)". Lineage: Eukaryota; Viridiplantae; Streptophyta; Magnoliopsida; Fabales; Fabaceae. The record is from RNAcentral.